UACGUAGGUGGCGAGCGUUGUCCGGAUUUAUUGGGCGUAAAGCGCGCGCAGGUGGUGCGGUAAGUCUGUCGUGAAAUCUCCUGGCUCAACUGGGAGGGUGCGGUGGAGACUGCCGGACUGGAGGCACUCAGAGGCCGGUGGAAUUCCCGGUGUAGUGGUGAAAUGCGUAGAGAUCGGGAGGAACACCAGUGGCGAAGGCGGCCGGCUGGGGGUGACCUGACGCUGAGGCGCGAAAGCGUGGGGAGCGAACCGG
This 253-nucleotide ribosomal RNA is filed under the name uncultured bacterium. RNAcentral describes it as "partial 16S ribosomal RNA". It matches the Rfam family "Bacterial small subunit ribosomal RNA", at positions 524 to 776 of the family's 1533-position model. The record is from RNAcentral.